RNA transcript from Manduca sexta (tobacco hornworm), 2734 nucleotides. It is a transcript of the gene named fibroin light chain, with no coding region annotated. NCBI's taxonomy places the organism in Eukaryota, Metazoa, Arthropoda, Insecta, Lepidoptera, Sphingidae. The record is from RefSeq and is a predicted model, not a curated record. The transcript has 6 exons.
UCAUCCAAAUGAGGAUACUGAAUAUAAAAUAUGUUUCCUCAACAAAAUUAAAUAAACAUUCCGUUCAGUUAUUGUAUGUAACUAGAAGUGAACACAAAUGUAAAACUCAAAUAUGUAUGUUAUUAGUUUAAUAAUUUUGUUUUUGUGCGCUGCAGAUGGAUUAGCUCCAAAAUGUACUAAAGCUGAAAACUUUAAACAGAAAUGUAAAGAUAAGAAACACAUUUUACUUCUUAAUACAUCUGACUCUCAAGACAUUAAUCAAUUUAAAACAUUCUCCGAUGAUGUUGAAGUUAUUGAUGAAAUAUGUCCUGGAGGUGUCCAGGGACUUCUUGCAGCAACCACGGUGCUCCCAAAUUGUUACAUCGUUAACCUAAAUGUUUCUGAUUUCUAUAAAUUUGAUAUCGAUAACCUUUCACAGUAUUUAUUAUAUGGAGGUGACAGAAACUACUCUCAGUAUAAAAUUGGAGCUUGCGUCGUAAAACUCAACACUUCAAAUAUAAUUUGCAAUAAUAAUACAAUCAAAAAAUUCUCGUUCCCUUCCGUAAAACUAAUGAGUGAAAAUGUAGAGAACUAUCAUGAAUUAUACAACGCCGUCCUAAAUUUUCCUAACAAAAGUCACGUUGAAAAGCAUGAAGAAAAGGCAGCAAGCAACUUUGUUAUACUCAUAUGUACCGACAACGAGCCGAAUGAGGUUUCCAAACAUUAUGUUGGAAAUGAUAUAAAAUUUUCUACUCAUUGCGAACGUGACAUUGAAAUAUAUCAAAAAGAUCUUUUAGCCGUUGUGACGGCGAAACCUUUAGAAAUCGAUUACGACAUUAUGGUGCCGAUUAUGCUGUAUCAAGCUCCGUGUUAUGAUGAAAAUAUUUCUAAAAUUCAUAAUUACGUGACAAUGACUAAAUGCGACCAUUAUAAACUUGCGUUGGUGGAGUUUUUGAAGAGUGUUGGGUGGACUAGAGUGGCUGUCGUCUCCGAUAAUGCAGCAUAUAGUGAAAAAUUUGAACGAGAAGUCACGGCUCUGUUUGACGAGAACUAAUUUGCUUAUACAGUUGUAAAAUGUCAUGAAUCCCUCAAGAGGGGAUGUAACUUUACUGAGGCGCUGGAAUCACUUAAAAAGUCGGACGGAAGGGUGUUCAUCGCAAAUAUGGACGAAAACAACGCUAGAAUUCUACAACAGCAAGCCUCACAUGUUUGGACGGGGUAUAAUUUUCUAUCGUCAUGGAUCUUCAAAGGUUUCAUGUUAACAGGAGAUACUGGGGUGUGAUGCUAAUGCUUGGCUUAGGCUAUGGGUGACGUUUACUCCAUAUUUCUGGAGCCAGAAAACAACCAGAUUAUGACCAAUACGCUUCAACAUAUUUUGAAUGAUAUACGAUACAAGAAUAGUAUAAUUACGGCGAUUAAAAUGAUUCGUACCGCUUAUACUAGAAUUUUGCGUCGAUACAAUGAAAUGGAAAGAAAAUAUUUUUUUUGGAAUUUAACUAACAAAAUACGGAAGCAACUAUCAUCAGGCGCCAAAGUAAAUGUCCAUUUGAAAAGCCCGCGAGAAGUUUUUACCGAAAUGACCAUUAUGGAUGGUAAAGUGACCACCCACUAUAAGAGACAGCGUCGGCGUGAAGAUAUGACUAGUUGCUCUUUUAGAAGAACUGAUUACCACAACCCGUGCGAUGACCAUACACUUCUGAACAUAAUGAUAGUUUUCGUUGUGAUCGCUUCGUGUGGUCUGGUGGCGACCAUUUUCUACUACAGGUUUGAUUUUAACAUACGGCGGUAGAUAAACCUUGAAUAAUAAAGGCUCCGUCAAGCCUCGCCAGACAGAGCGUGGCUAGGUGUGAUAUGCACUUCGAGUGGUGACCGCGUGCUCUGGACAUACUGGUUCCUUUAAUGAUAUCUCCCCAAAACUUGAUAAAGAAGUCUGAGAAAUUGGCUUUUUACUAAAAUGAAAUAAUAUACAAGAGUACACAAGGUAUUAAAAAAAGUACCACACGUUUUUAAACAAAAUCAGAAAAUAUAAAAAUUUUAGGCUAGGUCACUUUAGUUCUCAGCGUGCUAUAUUACAAGCCACGCUCUCUGUCUGGCGAGGUAGAACAGGCGUUUCUUGCCCGUUGAAAUACGUGUUAACUAACAUUGAUUUUAUAAAAAAAAAACUUAAUUGUGCUCUUACGCGUUUGACUACGACCUUUUGCAAUAUGUGUAUAUACAAUAUGGUUUGUAAUAUGCGUGUAUAUAGGCGUCGCCAAAAUUGUAUUUAGGGAGAUGCAACUGCAAUCUACACACUAUAGUAGGUACUACAUAACAUCAUUAUUUUGAAUUUUUUUAGUAAAAGGUAUUUGUACAUACUAAAUAAUAAUAAAACCUCUAUGGUCGAUAGUUCCCAUUGUCAUUCGUUCAUUUUUAUUAUGAUUUGUUACGGAUGGGGGGACCCCUUAGCAUCCCUCUCCAGCGCCUAUGUGCAUUGUGCGUGUACCUUGCGUCUUGAAGAAGCGUUCAAACGCGCCCACUACGACGCAACUUAAAAUUUUCGACGAAAUAUUCGUUUUGUUUGCACGUAAUUGUACAGAAAAUGAAUAAGGAUAAAUAUAACAAUAUUAUUGAAACGGACAUUAUAAUUAAGCCGUCUAAAUUAAUUAGAAUUCGCGUUAUUUUUACUUGUAUUGGAUAAAUUUAUGUAUAAAGAAUUUAAGCAAAAUGUUAUCCCGGGUAUUUAUAUGUCGUCGAAAUAAAUAAGGAUAAUACUGUA